This 554-nucleotide ribosomal RNA is filed under the name uncultured beta proteobacterium. Its description in RNAcentral is "bacterial SSU rRNA". It matches the Rfam family "Bacterial small subunit ribosomal RNA", at positions 493 to 1045 of the family's 1533-position model. The record is from RNAcentral. Lineage: Bacteria; Pseudomonadati; Pseudomonadota; Betaproteobacteria.
CCGGCUAACUACGUGCCAGCAGCCGCGGUAAUACGUAGGGUGCGAGCGUUAAUCGGAAUUGCUGGGCGUAAAGCGUGCGCAGGCGGUUCGUUAAGACAGAUGUGAAAUCCCCGGGCUUAACCUGGGAACUGCAUUUGUGACUGGCGAGCUAGAGUAUGGCAGAGGGGGGUAGAAUUCCACGUGUAGCAGUGAAAUGCGUAGAGAUGUGGAGGAAUACCGAUGGCGAAGGCAGCCCCCUGGGCCAAUACUGACGCUCAUGCACGAAAGCGUGGGGAGCAAACAGGAUUAGAUACCCUGGUAGUCCACGCCCUAAACGAUGUCAACUAGUUGUUGGGUCUUCAUUGACUUAGUAACGUAGCUAACGCGUGAAGUUGACCGCCUGGGGAGUACGGUCGCAAGAUUAAAACUCAAAGGAAUUGACGGGGACCCGCACAAGCGGUGGAUGAUGUGGAUUAAUUCGAUGCAACGCGAAAAACCUUACCUACCCUUGACAUGGUCGGAACCCUGCUGAAAGGUGGGGGUGCUCGAAAGAGAACCGAAACACAGGUGCUGCA